Molecule: ribosomal RNA, 406 nt
Filed under: uncultured bacterium
Lineage: Bacteria
Description: partial 16S ribosomal RNA
Rfam family: Bacterial small subunit ribosomal RNA
Source: RNAcentral
AUUGAACGCUGGCGGCAGGCCUAACACAUGCAAGUCGAACGAGUGGCGGACGGGUGAGUAAUGUCUGGGAAACUGCCUGAUGGAGGGGGAUAACUACUGGAAACGGUAGCUAAUACCGCAUACCAUCAGAUGUGCCCAGAUGGGAUUAGCUUGUUGGUGGGGUAACGGCUCACUAAGGCGACGAUCCCUAGCUGGUCUGAGAGGAGGACCAGCAACACUGGAACUGUGCCACGGUCAAGACUCCUACGGGAGGAAGCAGUGGGGAAUAUUGCACAAUGGGCGAAAGCCUGAUGCGGAAAUGCCGCGUGGAUAAAGCAGGCCUUCGGGUGGUAAAGUACGUUCAGCGGGGAGGCGUUACCCGCAGAAGAAGCACCGGCUAACUCCGUGCCAGCAGCCGCGGUAAUAC